Molecule: small RNA, 1383 nt
Filed under: Pan troglodytes (chimpanzee)
Lineage: Eukaryota; Metazoa; Chordata; Mammalia; Primates; Hominidae
Description: retained intron
Source: RNAcentral
GCAGCCGCGGCGGGUGUGGCCAGCGCGGAGGCAGGACGCCGCCGAGCCUCCAACUUUACCUUUCCAACUCCGACAGCCCGUCGCCUUUCUGACCACGUCCCUACGGUUUCCCGGCAUCCGCCUCCCUCACCCCACCACACCUGAGGAAAACUUUUCCCUCGCCCCUCAAUUCAAAUUCAGCAGUGCCCACGGUUGCCGCAAACCGCCCGGUCCCUAGCAACAAGGUUCCGGCCGUAGAGCGAGAGCCUCUAGGUGUAAGGAAGGUGAUGUCGUAAAGCCGGGAGUGUCGUAAACCAGUUUUCAGUUUAAAUUCUCAACUGGCAAUUGGCCGAAAACUCCCAUCUGAAGACAUGAUCAUCCAAAUGUCAUUUUGUGAUUUGGCUACUGUCUGCUUGACAUAGGAAAGCACUAUCAAGAAAGACUAAUGGAGUGACUAUCAAAAGGAAGUCAAUGGACAACCUUAAACUUCCACCACAAGAGGAAUAUAAAGAGGUCCCUCCUGCACCAAGAAAGAUCUGCAGAUCUUUUUCAGUGUUCUUGGAGGUGUGGGGUGUGAGAACUUGAUCAGUUUGUGUCAGCCACCUUGUUCUCUAAAGGGAAAGCCCCUCAAACCAUUUUGUAUUCUGUAUUACACUUCAGAAAGUGUGGAAGCAAAGGUCAUCUAAUCUUUAAAAGUUACAAAUUAUAAUACUGUGGUAGAAACAAAUUCAGAUUCAGAUGAUGAAGACAAACUGCAUAUUGUGGAAGAAGAAAGUGUUACAGAUGCAGCUGACUGUGAAGGUGUACCAGAGGAUGACCUGCCAACAGACCAGACAGUGUUACCAGGGAGGAGCAGUGAAAGAGAAGGGAAUGCUAAGAACUGCUGGGAGGAUGACACAGGAAAGGAAGGGCAAGAAAUCCUGGGGCCUGAAGCUCAGGCAGAUGAAGCAGGAUGUACAGUAAAAGAUGAUGAAUGCGAGUCAGAUGCAGAAAAUGAGCAAAACCAUGAUCCUAAUGUUGAAGAGUUUCUACAACAACAAGACACUGCUGUCAUUUUUCCUGAGGCACCUGAAGAGGACCAGAGGCAGGGCACACCAGAAGCCAGUGGUCAUGAUGAAAAUGGAACACCAGAUGCAUUUUCACAAUUACUCACCUGUCCAUAUUGUGAUAGAGGCUAUAAACGCUUUACCUCUCUGAAAGAACACAUUAAAUAUCGUCAUGAAAAGAAUGAAGAUAACUUUAGUUGCUCCCUGUGCAGUUACACCUUUGCAUACAGAACCCAACUUGAACGUCACAUGACAUCACAUAAAUCAGGAAGAGAUCAAAGACAUGUGACGCAGUCUGGGUGUAAUCGUAAAUUCAAAUGCACUGAGUGUGGAAAAGCUUUCAAAUACAAACAUCACC